GCCCUCGUAGUAUAGCCAAUACCCUGGUCUUGUAAACCAGAAACGGAGAAUAAUUCUCCCAAGGACA
Molecule: transfer RNA, 67 nt
Filed under: Mirza coquereli (Coquerel's mouse lemur)
Lineage: Eukaryota; Metazoa; Chordata; Mammalia; Primates; Cheirogaleidae
Also listed under: 1 other name
Description: tRNA-Thr
Source: RNAcentral